This is a long non-coding RNA of Xenia sp. Carnegie-2017, 352 nucleotides long. RefSeq lists it as uncharacterized. NCBI's taxonomy places the organism in Eukaryota, Metazoa, Cnidaria, Anthozoa, Malacalcyonacea, Xeniidae. The record is from RefSeq and is a predicted model, not a curated record. The transcript is spliced from 5 exons.
CUUUGGUUAUGACGUUCAUUUUUAGGGCAACCAAAGGGAGUGAUGUUGAGCAACAAGAACAUGAUAUCCUGCCUCGCUGCAACUUUUAUACAUUUUGAGAAGAACGGCUACCCAGUAGAUUCAAGCUUUGUUCACAUAUCCUAUCUUCCGCUACCUCACAUGUACGAGAGACUUGUUAUGAUGAUUAUUUGCUGUGCUGGAGGUAGAGCUGGGUUCUUUCGUGGUGAUGUGAAACUUCUUUGGAUGACAUCCAGUUAUUGAGGGCCGACAUUCUUCGCUUCAGUUCCUCGUUUGUUAAACCGUCUUUACGAUAAGGUUAUAUCAAAUAUUGAAAGUAGCAGUGGCUUAAAAA